GUUUUAAUAGUUUAACAAAAACAUUGGCCUUGUAAAUCAAAAUUAAGUCAUUACUUUUAAAACU
RNAcentral lists this transfer RNA (64 nucleotides) under Rutilia goerlingiana. RNAcentral's name for it is "tRNA-Thr". It matches the Rfam family "tRNA". From Rfam's summary of the family: Transfer RNA (tRNA) molecules are approximately 80 nucleotides in length. Their secondary structure includes four short double-helical elements and three loops (D, anti-codon, and T loops). Lineage: Eukaryota; Metazoa; Arthropoda; Insecta; Diptera; Tachinidae. The record is from RNAcentral.